UACGAAGGGGGCUAGCGUUGCUCGGAAUCACUGGGCGUAAAGGGUGCGUAGGCGGGUCUUUAAGUCAGGGGUGAAAUCCUGGAGCUCAACUCCAGAACUGCCUUUGAUACUGAGGAUCUUGAGCUCGGGAGAGGUGAGUGGAACUGCGAGUGUAGAGGUGAAAUUCGUAGAUAUUCGCAAGAACACCAGUGGCGAAGGCGGCUCACUGGCCCGAUACUGACGCUGAGGCACGAAAGCGUGGGUAGCAAACAGG
This 253-nucleotide ribosomal RNA is filed under the name uncultured bacterium. Its description in RNAcentral is "partial 16S ribosomal RNA". It matches the Rfam family "Bacterial small subunit ribosomal RNA", at positions 524 to 776 of the family's 1533-position model. The record is from RNAcentral.